UGUAGCUUUGGAGCCUGGCCUGGA
This 24-nucleotide non-coding RNA is filed under the name Cricetulus griseus (Chinese hamster). The record is from RNAcentral. Lineage: Eukaryota; Metazoa; Chordata; Mammalia; Rodentia; Cricetidae.